This 1346-nucleotide ribosomal RNA is filed under the name uncultured bacterium. Its description in RNAcentral is "partial 16S ribosomal RNA". It matches the Rfam family "Bacterial small subunit ribosomal RNA", at positions 28 to 1381 of the family's 1533-position model. The record is from RNAcentral.
GACGAACGCUGGCGGCGUGCUUAACACAUGCAAGUCGAACGGAAAGGCCCUGCUUUUGUGGGGUGCUCGAGUGGCGAACGGGUGAGUAACACGUGAGUAACCUGCCCUUGACUUUGGGAUAACUUCAGGAAACUGGGGCUAAUACCGGAUAGGAGCUCCUGCUGCAUGGUGGGGGUUGGAAAGUUUCGGCGGUUGGGGAUGGAUUCGCGGCUUAUCAGCUUGUUGGUGGGGUAGUGGCUUACCAAGGCUUUGACGGGUAGCCGGCCUGAGAGGGUGACCGGCCACAUUGGGACUGAGAUACGGCCCAGACUCCUACGGGAGGCAGCAGUGGGGAAUAUUGCACAAUGGGCGGAAGCCUGAUGCAGCAACGCCGCGUGCGGGAUGACGGCCUUCGGGUUGUAAACCGCUUUCGCCUGUGACGAAGCGUGAGUGACGGUAAUGGGUAAAGAAGCACCGGCUAACUACGUGCCAGCAGCCGCGGUGAUACGUNAGGUGCGAGCGUUUGUCCCGAUUUAUUGGGCGUAAAAGGCUCGUAAGUGGGUGAUCGCGUCGGAAGUGUAAUCUUGGGGCUUAUCCUGAGCGUGCUUUCGAUACGGGUUGACUUGAGGAAGGUAGGGGAGAAUGGAAUUCCUGGUGGAGCGGUGGAAUGCGCAGAUAUCAGGAGGAACACCAGUGGCGAAGGCGGUUCUCUGGGCCUUUCCUGACGCUGAGGAGCGAAAGCGUGGGGAGCGAACAGGCUUAGAUACCCUGGUAGUCCACGCUGUAAACGGUGGGUACUAGGUGUGGGGUCCAUUCCACGGGUUCCGUGCCGUAGCUAACGCUUUAAGUACCCCGCCUGGGGAGUACGGCCGCAAGGCUAAAACUCAAAGGAAUUGACGGGGCCCCGCACAAGCGGCGGAGCAUGCGGAUUAAUUCGAUGCAACGCGUAGAACCUUACCUGGGUUUGACAUGGAUCGGGAGUGCUCAGAGAUGGGUGUGCCUCUUUUGGGGUCGGUUCACAGGUGGUGCAUGGCUGUCGUCAGCUCGUGUCGUGAGAUGUUGGGUUAAGUCCCGCAACGAGCGCAACCCUUGUUCACUGUUGCCAGCACGUUAUGGUGGGGACUCAGUGGAGACCGCCGGGGUCAACUCGGAGGAAGGUGGGGAUGACGUCAAGUCAUCAUGCCCCUUAUGUCCAGGGCUUCACGCAUGCUACAAUGGCUGGUACAGAGAGUGGCGAGCCUGUGAGGGUGAGCGAAUCUCGGAAAGCCGGUCUCAGUUCGGAUUGGGGUCUGCAACUCGACCUCAUGAAGUCGGAGUCGCUAGUAAUCGCAGAUCAGCAACGCUGCGGUGAAUACGUUCCCGGGGCU